Molecule: transfer RNA, 71 nt
Filed under: Salmo salar (Atlantic salmon)
Lineage: Eukaryota; Metazoa; Chordata; Actinopteri; Salmoniformes; Salmonidae
Rfam family: tRNA
About the family: Transfer RNA (tRNA) molecules are approximately 80 nucleotides in length. Their secondary structure includes four short double-helical elements and three loops (D, anti-codon, and T loops).
Source: Rfam by way of RNAcentral
UCCUGUGUGGUUCAGUUGGUGGAGCAUGGCACUUGCAACACCAAGGUUAUGGGUUCGAUUCCCAUCGGGAC